This 861-nucleotide ribosomal RNA is filed under the name Halomonas sp. TD01. Its description in RNAcentral is "bacterial LSU rRNA". It matches the Rfam family "Bacterial large subunit ribosomal RNA", at positions 13 to 926 of the family's 2925-position model. Lineage: Bacteria; Pseudomonadati; Pseudomonadota; Gammaproteobacteria; Oceanospirillales; Halomonadaceae. The record is from RNAcentral.
GAAGCGCACACGGUGGAUGCCUAGGCAGCCAGAGGCGAUGAAAGACGUGGAAGCCUGCGAUAAGGCUCGGCGAGGUGGCAAACAACCUGUGACCCGGGCAUUUCUGAAUGGGGAAACCCACUCAUCAUAAGAUGAGUAUCUUACGCUGAAUAUAUAGGCGUAAGAGGCGAACCAGGGGAACUGAAACAUCUAAGUACCCUGAGGAAAAGAAAUCAACCGAGAUUCCCCUAGUAGCGGCGAGCGAACGGGGACCAGCCCUUAAGCAUGUGACUGAUUAGGCGAAUGCGCUGGGAAGCGCGGCCAUAGUGGGUGAUAGCCCCGUAGUCGAAAAUCUGAUCAUGUGAAAUCGAGUAGGUCGGGGCACGAGAAACCUUGACUGAAGACGGGGGGACCAUCCUCCAAGGCUAAAUACUCCUGGCUGACCGAUAGUGAACCAGUACCGUGAGGGAAAGGCGAAAAGAACCCCGGAGAGGGGAGUGAAAUAGAUCCUGAAACCGUGUGCGUACAAGCAGUAGGAGCAGACUUGUUCUGUGACUGCGUACCUUUUGUAUAAUGGGUCAGCGACUUAUAUUCAGUGGCGAGGUUAACCGUUUAGGGGAGCCGUAGGGAAACCGAGUCUUAACUGGGCGACACAGUCGCUGGAUAUAGACCCGAAACCGAGCGAUCUAUCCAUGAGCAGGGUGAAGGUUGAGUAACAUCAACUGGAGGCCCGAACCAGGAUCUGUUGAAAAAGAUUUGGAUGACUUGUGGAUCGGAGUGAAAGGCUAAUCAAGCUCGGAGAUAGCUGGUUCUCCUCGAAAGCUAUUUAGGUAGCGCCUCACGUAUCACCGCCGGGGGUAGAGCACUGUUUCGGCUAGGGGG